GACGAACGCUGGCGGCGUGCUUAACACAUGCAAGUCGAACGGAAAGGCCCUGCUUGCAGGGUACUCGAGUGGCGAACGGGUGAGUAACACGUGGGUGAUCUGCCCUGCACUUCGGGAUAAGCCUGGGAAACUGGGUCUAAUACCGGAUAGGAGCCAUUUUUAGUGUGAUGGUUGGAAAGUUUUUUCGGUGUAGGAUGAGCUCGCGGCCUAUCAGCUUGUUGGUGGGGUAAUGGCCUACCAAGGCGGCGACGGGUAGCCGGCCUGAGAGGGUGGACGGCCACAUUGGGACUGAGAGACGGCCCAGACUCCUACAGGAGGCAGCAGUGGGGAAUAUUGCACAAUGGGCGCAAGCCUGAUGCAGCGACGCCGCGUGGGGGAUGACGGCCUUCGGGUUGUAAACUCCUUUCGCUAGGGACGAAGCUUUUUGUGACGGUACCUAGAGAAGAAGCACCGGCUAACUACGUG
This 465-nucleotide ribosomal RNA is filed under the name uncultured bacterium. Its description in RNAcentral is "partial 16S ribosomal RNA". It matches the Rfam family "Bacterial small subunit ribosomal RNA", at positions 28 to 507 of the family's 1533-position model. The record is from RNAcentral.